ACAAUGGUGGUUCAUUGGUAGAAUUCUUGUCUUCCACACACUGAGACCUGGGUUCAAUUUCCAACCAAUGCA
Molecule: transfer RNA, 72 nt
Filed under: Loxodonta africana (African savanna elephant)
Lineage: Eukaryota; Metazoa; Chordata; Mammalia; Proboscidea; Elephantidae
Rfam family: tRNA
About the family: Transfer RNA (tRNA) molecules are approximately 80 nucleotides in length. Their secondary structure includes four short double-helical elements and three loops (D, anti-codon, and T loops).
Source: Rfam by way of RNAcentral